Molecule: RNA transcript, 289 nt
Organism: Carlito syrichta (Philippine tarsier)
Lineage: Eukaryota; Metazoa; Chordata; Mammalia; Primates; Tarsiidae
Gene name: cytochrome c oxidase subunit NDUFA4 pseudogene
Exons: 1
Source: RefSeq, a predicted model, not a curated record
CCAUGCUCCGCCAGAUCUUCUUUAAGGCCAAGAAGCACCCAAGCUCGAUCUCCCUCUUUGUAUUUAUUGGUGUUGGAGGUACUGGAGCUACACUCUAUCUCAUGCAUCUGGCGAUGUUCAAUCCAGAUGUUAGUUGGGACAGAAAGAAUUACCCACAGCCCUGGAACAAACUGGGUUCCAGUGAUCAAUACAAGUUCUACUCAGUGAAUGUGGAUUACAGCAAACUGAAGAAAGAGAGUCCAGAGUUCUAAAUGAAAUGUUUCACUAUAAAGCUGCUUAGAAUGAGGGU